CUCAGCAUGUGGUUUCCCUUUGAACUUCUUUUCUCCUGUGGAUUCUAGAGACACACCCAGUACUGUUUGCAACUUCAGGCUCUGGCUCUGAUUCGUCCCACACAGAAACUGCAAACGGGAAAACAACCGGGUGGGACAAAGGAGACAGACUACAGGACAGUGGAGCAAAGAUGAGUCUGGAAAAAACUUCUCACCCCUAGUCUCCAGUUAUCCCAGAAGAAAGCUAGCCAUCACCCUAGGAUCUCUUCUUACAAAGAUACCAACCCCAUCAUGAAGACAUCAUUUAAACACAAUCAACUCCAAAGGAUCCACUUCCAGACACUGGCUUUUUGUGUUAGAACAUCAACUGAUAAAUUUGGCAGACUGUGACGUCCUUGCAGAUUCACAGCUCACAUGAAUUACUCCCUAUUCCUGACCUUCUGCAUUAUACAACUUCAGCACUCAAUCUACAAAGGCAGUUAUUCAGCCAGAAGGAGGUGCUGGGAUCUGGGCAGAGGCUGUGAAUAGAUUUGGAUUCAGUUAUACCUGCCAACUCCCCUAUGGAACCACCAGCUUCUGUAGAGUUUGCAUUGUAAACUAUGAUACCUAAUGCAAUAAAAUCUACACCGUUUUAUCUGCCAGCAGCUCAGAGCUAAUUAGACACUAAUUGAAAGAAUUUCUCAACGCCUCAUUUCACUGUGUAGGCAUGGGCAAUGCAAGUGUUAUUUUGUGUGCGAGAUCCUGAGGGUGGGAACCGCACAUUUGAAGCUGUGGGAGAUGUAUCAAGCUCUAAGCACUUAGAGGAUGAAUGCCCAGGAUUCUAGAGUCCUGCAUUUCCUAGUUGGGAGUGUAUUUCCACAGUCAUGCACUGGAGAGCACAGGGCACUGCAAAGAAACAGUGCUUGCCAUCCAGGGGAGGUAACCAUGAACACUACAGAAUGGAAGGCAGUUUUAAAGAAAGGUAAUCAUAGAUGUUGUGAUGGUUAAUUUUGAUUGUCAAUUUGGUGAGUAUUAAUAUUGUCAUGGAAACAAAUCAGAUAGCAUGCCUAUGAAGGAUUAUUUAGGCUAGGCUAGGCUUGCAUCUGUGCUUGUCUGUUAGGAAUUGUCUUGAUCUUACCUUAGAUACAGGCAAUAAAUCCAAAGGGAUGGGGUCCCUAACAGCAUACAAAGGAAGAGGUGAGCUGAGCAGGAGUAUUCGUUGCUCUCUGCUUCCUAAGAUGUGAUGUGACCAGCCCUUUCAUGCCCUUGAUUAUGGUAACUUCCUCACCAUGAUGGACUGUACCCUCCAAAUGUGAGCCAAAAUAAAUGCUUCCAUGAGUUA
Mesocricetus auratus (golden hamster) is the source of this 1300-nucleotide long non-coding RNA. RefSeq lists it as uncharacterized. NCBI's taxonomy places the organism in Eukaryota, Metazoa, Chordata, Mammalia, Rodentia, Cricetidae. The transcript is spliced from 5 exons. The record is from RefSeq and is a predicted model, not a curated record.